UCUGGGUCAGGCUUUGUUCUGGCUACUUCUCUUUGCUCCUCUGGUCUUUCUUCUAAGCAGGGGUGCUCCUCUAGGAGGCCAGCCUUCUCCAGCCCUCACUUCUGCCCCCUGUGGGCCAAAGCCGUUUUCUUUCUCCUCUGGGCACUAAGGCCCAGCUCCCUGUCCCCCGGGCUGUUGCUGGCUGGUGACCCCCGGCUCCGCUUCCUACUUCCCCCCCUGGCUGCAGUCCCUGUACCUUUCCUUCCUUCAAACUCUCCCAUAAAGCACGGAGAGAUCGGCAGGUGUUUGGGGCAGAGCUGGCUGGCAAGGGUGGGAAGGAGAUUUUCUAAUUAACUUCUCAUUAUUAAUUCCUAGAUUAAUUUCACGGUGGCCCAAGGAUUUACCUCUGAAUGAUUUAAAUCCCUUGGAAUGUAAGGCUUGCUUUAUGGUCAGCAUCUGGCUCCUUUGACUCCCUGUUAUGUGUGUGGUUAGGAACGUGAGUUCCCUUGUAGGGCGCUUGCCUGGAAGGCGCCGGGCCCCCGAAUUCCAUCCCCAACACUGAAAAAUAAAUUUGAAUAAUAAUAAUAAAAAGAGAAGAAUGUGUGUUCCCUCGUGGCUGGAUUGGGUGCCCAGCAGGUCAGGCUGAUUCCUGGCCUACCUGCGCCCUUCCUGCUUCCUCGUCCUUGAGAGGACAGGCAGCGUGAAUGCUGCUCCUACUGCUGCGGACCUGUCACUGACUCUGUUUUGUAGCCUGGGUGGAUGGACACUGCUCUCACGAUAAAGCAUCUCCUUUAUCUCUAAAAACGCUUUUUUGC
This 794-nucleotide long non-coding RNA is filed under the name Marmota monax (woodchuck). The record is from RNAcentral. Lineage: Eukaryota; Metazoa; Chordata; Mammalia; Rodentia; Sciuridae.